Molecule: non-coding RNA, 85 nt
Organism: Roridomyces roridus
Lineage: Eukaryota; Fungi; Basidiomycota; Agaricomycetes; Agaricales; Mycenaceae
Source: the annotation of a GenBank genome assembly
GCUCUCGUGGUCUAGUAGAAUGAUACGUGCUUUGGGUCAUAUCAUUCAAUGCACGGGGUCCCGGGUUCAAAUCCCGGCGAGGGUC